Molecule: transfer RNA, 72 nt
Filed under: Planctomycetota bacterium
Lineage: Bacteria; Pseudomonadati; Planctomycetota
Also listed under: 1 other name
Description: tRNA-Asp
Rfam family: tRNA
About the family: Transfer RNA (tRNA) molecules are approximately 80 nucleotides in length. Their secondary structure includes four short double-helical elements and three loops (D, anti-codon, and T loops).
Source: RNAcentral
GGCGCCGUGGUGUAGUGGUCAUCACACCGGCUUGUCAGGUCGGGAACAUGGGUUCGAAUCCCAUCGGCGUCG